CCGGGAUAGCUCAGCUGGAAAAGCAAAGGACUGAA
This 35-nucleotide transfer RNA is filed under the name Aquilaria sinensis. RNAcentral's name for it is "partial tRNA-Phe". The record is from RNAcentral. Lineage: Eukaryota; Viridiplantae; Streptophyta; Magnoliopsida; Malvales; Thymelaeaceae.